RNAcentral lists this ribosomal RNA (460 nucleotides) under uncultured bacterium. Its description in RNAcentral is "partial 16S ribosomal RNA". It matches the Rfam family "Bacterial small subunit ribosomal RNA", at positions 338 to 795 of the family's 1533-position model. The record is from RNAcentral.
CCUACGGGAGACUGCAGUGAGGAAUAUUGGUCAAUGGCCGUAACGCUGAACCAGCGACGCCGCGUGAAGGAAGAAGGAUCUAUGGUUUGUAAACUUCAUUUAUAGGGGAAUAAAGGUAUCCACGUGAGGAUAUAUGCAUGUACCCUAUGAAUAAGCAUCCGCUAAAGCCGUGCCAGCAGCCGCGGUAAUACGGAGGAAGUGAGCGUUAUCCGGAUUUAGUGGGUUUAAAGGGUGCGUAGGUUGUUUUGUAAGUCUGCGGUGAAAGGUGGUGGCUCAACCAUAAGAUUGCCGUUGAAACUGGAAGACUGGAGUGUGUGUGAGGUAGGCGGAAUGCGUGGUGUAGCGGUGAAAUGCAUAGAUAUCACGCAGAACUCCGAUUGCGAAGGCAGCUUACUAGGCCAUAACUGACACUGAGGCACGAAAGCGUGGGGAUCAAACAGGAUUAGAUAUCCGAGUAGUC